This 253-nucleotide ribosomal RNA is filed under the name uncultured bacterium. RNAcentral's name for it is "partial 16S ribosomal RNA". It matches the Rfam family "Bacterial small subunit ribosomal RNA", at positions 524 to 776 of the family's 1533-position model. The record is from RNAcentral.
GACGAACCGUGCGAACGUUGUUCGGAUUCACUGGGCUUAAAGGGCGCGUAGGCGGGCGGCCCAGUCGGGGGUGAAACCUUUCGGCCCAACCGGAAGCGUGCCCCCGAUACUGGCCGCCUCGAGGGGGGUAGGGGCAUGCGGAACUUCCGGUGGAGCGGUGAAAUGCGUAGAUAUCGGAAGGAACGCCGGUGGCGAAAGCGGCGUGCUGGGCCCCCCCUGACGCUGAGGCGCGAAAGCCAGGGGAGCAAACGGG